This 221-nucleotide ribosomal RNA is filed under the name uncultured bacterium. RNAcentral's name for it is "partial 16S ribosomal RNA". It matches the Rfam family "Bacterial small subunit ribosomal RNA", at positions 129 to 334 of the family's 1533-position model. The record is from RNAcentral.
CCUCAAAGAGGGGGACAACAGUUGGAAACGACUGCUAAUACCGCAUACGAUCCAAUCUCGGCAUCGAGACUGGAUGAAAGGUGGCCUCUAUUUAUAAGCUAUCACUGAAGGAGGGGACUGCGUCUGAUUAGCUAGUUGGAGGGGUAACGGCCCACCAAGGCGAUGAUCAGUAGCCGGUCUGAGAGGAUGAACGGCCACAUUGGGACUGAGACACGGCCCAG